Molecule: long non-coding RNA, 372 nt
Filed under: Ornithorhynchus anatinus (platypus)
Lineage: Eukaryota; Metazoa; Chordata; Mammalia; Monotremata; Ornithorhynchidae
Description: lncRNA (ENSOANG00000032457.2)
Source: RNAcentral
GUCCUGGGAGGGACAGGCGGGUUGGCAUCCUAGAGGAGUUUAGCAGCAGUAAAACGGUUAAUGUGUUACAGAUGGGCUCUUCCUACCACUCUGGAUUGAUGAGCAAAUUGUGCUGCAUUAGCUGAAUGAAUGGUAUGCUGUUCUAAUCCUAAUUUUUUUGAAAUGAUAUAAAUCUGCAUAUCUAAUGUUGGAUGCAUUGACUGUUUACCUCCGGACUGACUGCAGAGGAGAAGGCUCCGCUUUGGAAUAUGGUGCCCAACUCCUGUAUUUCAGCAUUCUCUGUGCCGGUGGUCGUUCUCUGCUGCUUGAUGGUGACAACGGAAUCAGACAAAUGUCUCAGCUUUUCGCAGACCAUCUCAAAAUGUGGUAAGC